Long non-coding RNA from Bubalus bubalis (water buffalo), 2045 nucleotides. RefSeq lists it as uncharacterized. The record is from RefSeq and is a predicted model, not a curated record. NCBI's taxonomy places the organism in Eukaryota, Metazoa, Chordata, Mammalia, Artiodactyla, Bovidae. The transcript has 3 exons.
GUUUUGUCUUUUCUAGUUUGCCAUGGACCACAGUUCCUGUAGGUCUCCAGUUUUUUCAAAGUCCUGGCUACUCUGCUAGAGACACUCGUUUUGAUCCAGGAGGCAGGUGCCAGUGUUUGAACCCCCAAAGGGUAAAGGCUGGUGGGAACAAAGAUAAACAAGCAGUAGAGCUUCCAAGGUUAAAACCUGGAUACACGGCUACCCUGUUAGAGACUACAUAUCCCAGCCUCUCUUGCAGGCUGGUGCAGCAAUGGGACUAACUUAUGGCCAAUGGAAUGUGAGUGGAAGUGAUCUGUUUCAUCUCUGGGCCACAUUCUUAAAAGGAAGUUGCCUGCUCUCCACUACUCUUUCCCCUUGUGCAGACUGGACCAUGGACAUGGGAAUGGAAAUGGGGGCAUCUUUAAUGAUGCCGGCAAGGACAGCACCCUAAGGUUGGCCAAUCAACAAGACCUUAAGAACCUGAGUUUCACGAUGACCUAGAAGAGAAGAGCUCUGGACCACUGACACCUUGGUCUCUGUGACAAUAGCUGGACCAAGAGCCUUACUGAUAAACCUGAUCAGUUUCCUGGUUUCCAAGCCCACAGUAGAUAGGGAGCAGCAUAUUGGAAGGAGAAAGUUUUCAUAAAACUGAAAGCACAGUGAAAUUAGCAAAAACCUAGAGUGAGAGGAGAGAAAACGGCUGUAAAACAGAUUCAGAGUUUGGGGUUAUUUAGUUCAGGAUCAUGCCAAGAAGCCUUGGGGGCACUGUUGUAUUACAGGAUAAUGUUGGAAAUGGUCACACCAACAAUCUUGAAUCAUUAAGAGAAAGUUAAUUGUGACAGAAUAUUUUAUAUUGAAAGAAAAGCAAUUAUGUGAUAUAUUUAGAAAGUAUAUAUGAUAGAAAAUAGUUGACCUAAAACUUGCAUGCUUAAGGGUAGACACCUUCAGCAUCUAUUCAAAAUAAUACAUUUCCUGAUGGGCCAGAAAGUAGAGGCUUUGAUUCACUGAUAUUUGCCUUCUCCCCCACUAGGUAAUAAAUCCUUUUAAGAUCAGCUUGUAGGGACUUGCCUGGUGGUCCAGUGGCUAAGACUCCCAAGGCAGGGGCCAGGGUUCCAUCCCUGGUCAGGGAACUCGAUCCCACAUGCCACAACUAGGAGUUUGCAUCCCGCCAGUAAAGACCCUGUGCAAGUAAGAUACAGUGCAGCCACAUAAAUAAAUAUUUUUAAAAAAUCAGAUUGUAUCUCCUUUUCCUUUCUAUUCCUAGUAUCUGGCACAAUGAUGACUCAAAUAAAUAUUCCUUAAUUGCUAAGGGGGUGAAAUCUGUGUUACCUUAGAUUGCAGAGCUUAUUGGUUCCACGAGCUGAUGUGGACAAUUGAGCAGUGAAGUUGCCUGGGGUCCCAAAAUACCGUGAUGGAGAGCUUCAGGAGCACAGCCCUCUUAGCCAAGAGUGUUAAGAGCCCAUGUUGACCCUACUCCUGUUGUCUAGAAAUCAUUUCAUCAGAAACACUCUCUUGAACUCAGAAGGCCAAAAUGCUCAGGAUUUUCAUUACAGAACUGGUUGUAAUUCCAAAACCAAAUACAACUGAACACAGCCUACACAACAGGGCGUGGCCUUUCUGCACUGUCCAGAUUAGAUGUUCAGGAAAACUCAAAAUGGGAGGGAAAAAGUGGGAGGCCCGGGAAAGUUAGUCGGCGUGCUCACUGUUUGUUUCACAUCACUUCGACUCCUAAGAUUUUAGGUUUCAAGGCAGCAGAGCUACAUUGUUGUCCCCAUCACCCCAAGGCUGGUGCUGGGUAAGGUUGCUAAGCAGCCUGUAAGAAGGUGAAUGAUGGGUCUGGAGGUAAUGAUCUUGAAAGUCCGCGGAUUUUGCUAUACGAUCCAGAAGUAAACGUAGCCACUGAUAGGGACAGUGUUUUCAAGGCAGAACUACAUCACUAUUAAUACUUUAAGUGAUAAUGCAGAUACUGUAGGAUAUCCCCUGCCCCCAAGAGCCCAGUCAAGACUCUGCAAGAAAGUGGGUCUGUUUUGGGAGCUCGGACUUCUGUCACAACACCCUCUUAUCUG